This 83-nucleotide transfer RNA is filed under the name Canis lupus familiaris (dog). It matches the Rfam family "tRNA". Rfam says of the family: Transfer RNA (tRNA) molecules are approximately 80 nucleotides in length. RNAcentral also lists the same sequence under 1 other name. Lineage: Eukaryota; Metazoa; Chordata; Mammalia; Carnivora; Canidae. The record is from Rfam by way of RNAcentral.
GCCUGGUUAGCUCAGUGGUUGAGCAUCUGCCUUCAGCUCAGGUCAUGGUCCCGGGGUCCUGGGAUCGAGUCCUGCACUGGGCU